UCGAGUUUUUCGACUUUGAGCAGGCGAUUAAAAUUUCGAGUGAGAGUAAACAUUCGGAAUUUUCGUUAAAAAUGAGUUCAUCGAAGCCAAGGAACAGAUCACGGUCUCCAAUAAGAAAAUCUAAUGAACGUCCACAUCAUUCGGGUUCCUCAGAUAAAAAAGAGCGGCGAAAUAGCAAGGACCAAGGCAAUAAGACACUCGAUGAAAAGACACCUAAUGCAGAAACUAAAUCAAAGGUUCAGGCGAAGUCCGACAAGAAGGACAGCCUGAUUGAAACCAAUAACAAUUCUGCAUCGAAAAUGAACCACAAUUCAGUUCAAAAAAACUCUUUCGUUUAUAAUACUAGUAGCAGGACGUAUGUGAAUCCUGUGACGGGAAAAACGGAGCGAAAAUUUUCAAACAGAUGUCGUUUGUUUGUGGGAAAUAUCAUGGAUAUGAGUGAAGAAGAAUUCACAAAGAUGUUCGAGAAAUAUGGAGAAUACUCAGAAGCGUAUGUGAACAAAGAUAAGGCUUUUGGUUUUAUCAAAAUGGACACAAGAAUGGCAGCAGAAGCUGCUAAAAAUGCUUUAGAUGGCUCUGUGCGUAAAGGACGAAAUCUAACUGUGCGAUUUGCUACCUUAUCUACUGCUAUUCAUGUUUCUAACCUUGGCCCUCUGGUCUCCAAUGAGAUGUUGCAAAAGGCGUUUUCUGCCUUUGGUGAUGUGGAAAGAGCUGUUGUUGUUGUUGAUGAUCGAGGAAGAAGCAAAGGGUAUGGGAGAGUGGAAUUUGCUCGUAAAGGAAAUGCUGUGAAUGCAUUACAAAAAACAAAUGAAGGGUUUUUUAUGAUUGGAAGAUCACCAAGACCAGUGUUUACUAAACAACAAGAGCAAACAGAUGAAGAGGAAGGCCUUCUUGAAAAAUCAAUUGAACGCCAACCAAUGUAUUACAGUGAGCGUGAUGCAGGGGCUCGGUUUGCACCAUCCGGUACUUUUGAACAUGAAUGGUGUCAGAAGUGGAAACAACUAGAAGAGAUGAAGAGAACUCAGUUAGAAUCAUUGGAGAAACAGUUUAAAGAAGCUGAAGAUAAACUAGAAAAUGAUAUGGUUCAGGCUGUUUCUGAUUAUGAAGCAGAAAUUAACCGUAGAGAAAUGUUGGCAAAACAAGCUGAAAUACAACGACAAGAAGAAAUGAUGCGACAAGAAAUGAUGAGACAACAGGCAAUGGAGCUCAGACGGCACGAAGAAGCAAGAAUACAGGAAGAGUUGCAAAGACAAGUGGAAAUUCGUAUGCAGGAAGAUUUAUUGCGUCGUCAACACGAGGAACUUCUAAGAAGAAGACAUCAUGAGGAAGCUGCAUUAAUUCAUGGCGCUCGAAUGCCCCCAGUUGGGGCGUUUGGUCUCGGACCACCGGGCCAUCCACCUGGUUUUAUGCCCCCUGGCAUGAAUCCUGUUCACAACCCAAGAAUGCCCUUGCCUCCAAUGGGAAGAGGAAUGCCCUCGCCUGGUGACGCGACGAAGACAAAAGCUAUAUGUGCACGCUAAAAAAGAUGGUUAUAGAAUCGGCAUGCUGCAGUUAAAGGGAGGAAUUACAGACGAAUAAUUAUCUGGUUUGCAAAUGGAUAAAGAUUAUUGAAAUAUAAGUGAUAAGGUGCUUAAACUGGUGUGGCGAAAUCGAUGAGUAAAACGUCUGAAAAAACCAUUCAACAUCAGAUGCAAGAAACCAGAAUUGCGCAAUGUUCGAUCCAUGAUCAUAUUUUGAAAUUGUUUUCGUUCACGUGCGCCAGAAAUGGCUGAACCCACUGUUAAUGAUUUUACGGACGUGAAGAGAAAUGCCAGCUGGUCUGGUGUCUGAGCAUAACUGCAUGCAUAGAAAAAUCACCAAGUUGGGAUGACGCUUACGUUCUGGCGAAGUGUGCAGGUCACAUACCACAGCAAUAAAAUAGGCUCGAUAUUGUUCGAGGUAUACAAUUCAGUCCAACAAGAGCUUUUGUUUAGAAACGCCGGUGAAGAAAAGAAGAACUUUAUACUUCAUAACAAAAUAAUGUUGUAGCCUCAGGAACCAGGCCGCAAUCCAGGAGGAUCUUCAUCGAAUACAUACUUACGAUAAACCUGUAAUCCUUCAAAAACAGUAAACAUUUUGAGAUUGUUUAAUUUACUUUUAAUCCGACUGUGCCAAUACAUCGUUCAGGCCAAAACCAACUUCUAAUAAUUAUACGUAAGAUUGAAGAUGAGGCACAGUCCGUUCUGCGCAUCGGUUCUGCUCAUAAGGAUAGGACGGGGCAAUUGAUUAAGUUCCCCACAUUUUUUAGAAAGUAACUCGAUUUCAUAUACAUUUUCGAUGUAUACCGGACCAGAAAUCGUGUUAGACAUUCUGACGGUCAUCAUAUUUUAAAAAUAUUCAAAAGAAUUUGUACAUUACGGACUUCAAUAAAUAUGAUGCAACCU
Dendronephthya gigantea is the source of this 2423-nucleotide RNA transcript. It is a transcript of the gene named splicing factor, proline- and glutamine-rich-like, with no coding region annotated. The record is from RefSeq and is a predicted model, not a curated record. NCBI's taxonomy places the organism in Eukaryota, Metazoa, Cnidaria, Anthozoa, Malacalcyonacea, Nephtheidae. The transcript has 12 exons.